This 621-nucleotide ribosomal RNA is filed under the name uncultured bacterium. RNAcentral describes it as "bacterial SSU rRNA". It matches the Rfam family "Bacterial small subunit ribosomal RNA", at positions 766 to 1397 of the family's 1533-position model. The record is from RNAcentral.
GAGCAAACAGGAUUAGAUACCUGGUAGUCCACGCUGUAAACGAUGAAUACUAGGUGUGGGCAUGCAAGGCAUGUCCGUGCCCAGCUAACGCAAUAAGUAUUCCACCUGGGGAGUACGUUCGCAAGAAUGAAACUCAAAGGAUUGACGGGGACCCGCACAAGCGGUGGAGCAUGUGGUUUAAUUCGAAGCAACGCGAAGAACUUACCAGGCCUUGACAUCGUGAUGACCGUCCCUUAAUCGGGGCUUCCCUUCGGGGCAUCAAGACAGGUGGUGCAUGGUUGUCGUCAGCUCGUGUCGUGAGAUGUUGGGUUAAGUCCCGCACGAGCGCAACCCCUGCCUGUAGUAGCCAGCACGUAAUGGUGGGCACUCUACAGGGACUGCGGGGUCAACCCGGAGGAAGGUGGGGAUGACGUCAAAUCAUCAUGCCCCUUACGGCCUGGGGACACACGUGCUACAAUGGCACAACAAAGAGAAGCGAUCCCGCGAGGGGGAGCAAACCUCAAAAUAGUGUCCCAGUUCGGACUGUAGUCUGCAACCCGACUACACGAAGCCGGAAUCGCUGUAAUCGCGGAUCAGAAUGCCGCGGUGAAUACGUUCCCGGGUCUUGCACACACCGCCCGU